AUGCCUCCAAUGCCAUAUAUUGGAAGGAUGACCAUUUCUUCUGUGAUGCUCUCGGAUAAAAUAGACAAUAUUUUCUGUUUUUCCUUGGUCCUUCCGAUGAUUACUUGUUCCACAUCUGAUGAUGUUUCCCUGUCAGCAAGUUGCUGCACAGUACGGUUAGAGUUAUCUGUUGGCAUCAAAUUGCAAUGUCUAUGUUCAUUAUUGUUUAGUUCAGCUACCAUCAUCUCCAACAUAUUAGACUCGCUCUUGAGACCAAUUGUUGGACACGGGAACACAUCUGCCAUCUGCAACCAGUUUUUAUGUGUAAGUACAUGGAGAAGACCAAUAGAAUUAUCAUGA
This 339-nucleotide ribosomal RNA is filed under the name Triticum aestivum (bread wheat). Its description in RNAcentral is "partial small subunit ribosomal RNA". The record is from RNAcentral. Lineage: Eukaryota; Viridiplantae; Streptophyta; Magnoliopsida; Poales; Poaceae.